AUGAACGCUGGCGGCGUGCCUAAUACAUGCAAGUCGAGCGAACGGACGAGAAGCUUGCUUCUCUGAUGUUAGCGGCGGACGGGUGAGUAACAAGUGGAUAACCUACCUAGAAGAGUGGGAUAAGUUCGGGAAACCGGAGCUAAUACCGGAUAAUAUUUUGAACCGCAUGGUUCAAAAGUGAAAGACGGUCUUGUUGUACUUUAUAGAUGGAGACGCGCUGCAUUAGUUAGUUGGUAAGGUAACGGCUUACCAAGGCAACGAUGCAUAGACGACCUGAGAGGGUGAUCGGCCACACUGGAACUGAGACACGGUCCGAACUCCUACGGGAGGCAGCAGUAGGGAAUCUUCCGCAAUGGGCGAAAGCCUGACGGAGCAACGCCGCGUGAGUGAUGAAGGUCUUCGGAUCGUAAAACUCUGUUAUUAGGGAAGAACAUAUGUGUAAGUAACUGUGCACAUCUUGACGGUACCUAAUCAGAAAGCCACGGCUAACUACGUG
RNAcentral lists this ribosomal RNA (496 nucleotides) under uncultured bacterium. RNAcentral's name for it is "partial 16S ribosomal RNA". It matches the Rfam family "Bacterial small subunit ribosomal RNA", at positions 29 to 507 of the family's 1533-position model. The record is from RNAcentral.